This 1978-nucleotide long non-coding RNA is filed under the name Zerene cesonia (dogface butterfly). RNAcentral describes it as "uncharacterized LOC119839857". Lineage: Eukaryota; Metazoa; Arthropoda; Insecta; Lepidoptera; Pieridae. The record is from RNAcentral.
GGGGGAUUACCGAAUGAUACUAUACGUGAGUACGUUGAAAGAGCAUAUCUCUCAGACAUGUCUCACUGUCUCGGCCGAACUGCGCGCGGGAUUAAGUCAAAUCAGAUGUGGCCAGUGCUAUGGAAUUAAAAGUACGAAGCACGCACGCUACCGCCCACCGGACGCUUCCCGCUCGCCGCGCCGGCUGUACCGCCGGUAUACCGGGUAUACGCCGGGUAUACACCGUGUAUACCACACUGAGCGACGCUAAUGUACAAAUUGGUUUCGGGCUUGCAGGUCACGACGGCGAAGUAUUGAGCGUUAAAUAAAUUUAUGACAAGGGAAAGUUUAAGGAACUGUAAUGAUCGUUUUUAAUUGUAUUCAUUCGGAUUUCUAACUGUCGAGUUAAAACGUCGAAUUUUUUUUUUCACCGCCACCGCCGCAUAUCGUCUGAUUAAAUAAGACUGUUCGAAUAGCUCAAUGUGAGAACACAUAUAUAGCUUACUUUCCUGUGUUAUGAAUGAAAUCGUAUAAUAUGUAAUCGGUUCAUGUCCCAUAUGUAAUUAUACAAGUGUAGUUAUACAAGUAGUGAGUGCAUCACAAUGUGUACAGAUUUGUGACGUCUAGAUAUAUUCAUGGGCUAUUGUGAGACAAUAGUUCGUACUGCCAAUGUGUGACAGGACCCGUGGCUUGAGCGGUUUUUUUGAUAUUAUUAAAAUGUAUAUUAUUUUUAUGAAAUUUUUAAAUUUUUGUUUACUGCAAACAUGUUUUUUUUUCUUAUUUCGCUUCUGUUGAUUGUUACUGUUUAUUUUCUGUUUUCUUUCGUACUGUUAAGUUUCUUUCGUCAGGUUACGUACUUUCGUAUUCGUAAGCAAUAUUUUUUAAAAAUUCGAUGUAGUUUUAUUGAAAAUAUGUUUGAUUGAAAAGCGACUCUAUGCCUCUGUAAAUAUGGAUCAUAGAAAUUAACCGAUUACCGAUUAGCUAUUUUAUGAAAUGUUCGACGAUAUAACCGUUAUGUUAACAUAAAUUGGAAGAACAAGUAAAGAGUAAGUAGGUCAAUGGAAUGUUUCUUAAUAAAAUCGACUCUAAGUAUAUGAGAAUACGGUAUGACGGUUUGUUGACAUAGUUAUCCUGUGACACCCGCGUCGCUUGCCUCCGACGUAGCGGUACAUUGUUAUAAAUAAAUAAAUAUACACUUGUAUUAUACUCGUAGCGAGGAAAGGGAGACAAAAUCGUGCCCUCUCUCUCUAACCACAGAUUAUACACGGGACGGCACCGUUUUGAACUAUAUUAUUCUCGACGUACAUGUUGUACGGAGCGUUUGUUAUAUAUUUGUAAAAAGAUAUUAUAUACCAAAUUCACCCGUAUUUGCUUUCAUGGUGUUUAUACUGUUUAGCCACAUCUAUAUGUAUUUAUUCUUCGAUUUUAUAUCAAAAAUAUUCUUAGUGGGGAUAGUUUUCUCUUAGCCAAUAACGCGCUUCCAAGAUGUAGGAUUUUUUAUUAAAUGAAAAUAAUAAAUUUAGUGAAAAAUGAAAAAAAAAAAAUAUUUUUCGUAAUACAUAGUAUAGCUCGGCCUGAAUCGAAGACACGUUAGAAUAAUUCCGUAUUAUACAAAUUCUAGAUGUUUCGAUCCGUUUGAAAUAGAUAAAAUAUAUUUAAUAGUUAUAAAUACGCGUGACGUCGUUAAAAAUAUAAUAUGAUUAACGAAUAAUCGAAAUUAUAAACAAUCCUUAAAUAACAAAAUAUAGUCUAAGAUUCCGGUCGACCUAUAAGAAUUCUCAUUUUCAAUAUUUUUGAUAUGAAAUUUUUAAAUGUUGUAUCGCGAUAAAAUUAGCUCGGUUCAAAUAUUGGUGAGGGUUGUUACGAUAUUCAAAAUAUAAAUAUAAAAUUACAUAUUAUAUUGUAGUAAAUGAAAAAAAAAAAAUAAUGACUGAAAGAUACAAUACGACGAAUUUUCGAUUAUUAAAUAUCGAACAAGGAACGUAAAAGUAAAAAAAAA